RNAcentral lists this ribosomal RNA (659 nucleotides) under Escherichia coli. RNAcentral's name for it is "partial 23S ribosomal RNA". It matches the Rfam family "Bacterial large subunit ribosomal RNA", at positions 470 to 1129 of the family's 2925-position model. The record is from RNAcentral. Lineage: Bacteria; Pseudomonadati; Pseudomonadota; Gammaproteobacteria; Enterobacterales; Enterobacteriaceae.
AUACUCCUGACUGACCGAUAGUGAACCAGUACCGUGAGGGAAAGGCGAAAAGAACCCCGGCGAGGGGAGUGAAAAAGAACCUGAAACCGUGUACGUACAAGCAGUGGGAGCACGCUUAGGCGUGUGACUGCGUACCUUUUGUAUAAUGGGUCAGCGACUUAUAUUCUGUAGCAAGGUUAACCGAAUAGGGGAGCCGAAGGGAAACCGAGUCUUAACUGGGCGUUAAGUUGCAGGGUAUAGACCCGAAACCCGGUGAUCUAGCCAUGGGCAGGUUGAAGGUUGGGUAACACUAACUGGAGGACCGAACCGACUAAUGUUGAAAAAUUAGCGGAUGACUUGUGGCUGGGGGUGAAAGGCCAAUCAAACCGGGAGAUAGCUGGUUCUCCCCGAAAGCUAUUUAGGUAGCGCCUCGUGAAUUCAUCUCCGGGGGUAGAGCACUGUUUCGGCAAGGGGGUCAUCCCGACUUACCAACCCGAUGCAAACUGCGAAUACCGGAGAAUGUUAUCACGGGAGACACACGGCGGGUGCUAACGUCCGUCGUGAAGAGGGAAACAACCCAGACCGCCAGCUAAGGUCCCAAAGUCAUGGUUAAGUGGGAAACGAUGUGGGAAGGCCCAGACAGCCAGGAUGUUGGCUUAGAAGCAGCCAUCAUUUAAAGA